UAUAACACUUUAAUUAAUUAUGAAGCUCUUAAAGGUGCGUUUGGUUCAAGUUAUCCUGGUAGAAUUACAAGCAAUCCUGUCAGGAUUACCGUGUUUGGUUCAUCCGCUCUGUAAUCUAGUCGGUAAUAUAGCAUUACAAAUCGAGCAGGAUUACACCAAAAAUAUUAACAAGAGAGGGGUCGUGUAUGUUGUAUUACUGAAAACCGGUAAUACUAUAUAUUAUAUAAAAUGACAAUUUUACCCUCUAACUCUCGAAACUCUUUCAAUAUGUUAUUUUAAAAAAAUUAAUUUAAAAUUUUGAAUUCUCAACUUUUAAUUUUUAAUUUUUAAUUUUUAAUUUUAAAUUUUUAAAUUUUUAAAUUUUAAUUUUUAAACUUCAAAUUUAAAUUUUAAAUUUUAAAUUAAAAUUAAAAUUUUAGAUUUUAAAUUAUAGGUUUUAAAUUUUAAAUUUUAAAUUUCAAAGUUCUCAGAUUUUAAAUUUCAAAUCUCAAAUCUCAAAUCUCAAAUUUUAAAUUUUAAAAUACAAAUUUGUAUUUUAAAUUCUGAAUUUUAAAUUUAGAUUUUAAUUUUUUAUUUUAUAUAUAUUUAUAUUUAUAUUUUAGAUUUUAAAUUUAGAAAUUUCAUAUUUAUAUUUUAAAUUAAAAUAUUAAAUUUAUAUUUUUGUUUAAAAUUUAAAUUUUAAAAUUUUAAAAAUUAAAUUAUUUUAAAAAAAAUUUGGUAAAAAAUUAUUGUUUGUAAACAGUAAAAAAAAGUUUACAAAAUAUAACUAAGAGCAAUUUUGAAAUAGACUAUAGUUUAUUGUUUAGAUUACUAAAUUUUAUAGGCAGAACCAAAUAUAAUAAUGCUUUAAACAUUGCAAUCCGGUAUUAUAUUACUGUAUUAAAUCAAACGCGCUAAUGCAGCAUCAGUAGUAAUCUCAUUUAGAAAUUCAAAAUAUCUGGAUAUAUCGAAAUACUCUGUAAUAUGACAUAACUCGAACCAAUCAGACCCUAAGUAAUAUUGUACAUAACGUCAGGGGUGACAUCACUAAUACCGUUUAUGCUAUCAUAAUCAGCGGCUAGUAUAGUGGUUGACAUGACAUUUUUUGAAAAAAAAAUUAUUUUUAUUAAGGAUAAAGUUGUUAAAUAAUACGAAACGCUGCACUUUAAAAUUUUAAAUUUAUAAAGAACGAUGUUUAAAUAUUUUCAUAUUUAAGACUUUCUCUCAUGUCUAGGCUGGAGAGAGCCUAGUGUGACUCGAACUUAGAACUUUUUACUUUAAUGCCAUAUUAAAUAAUACGAAAUAAACGUUAUAUUCUAAAAAUUUAAAUUAAUAAAAAAUAAUGUUUAAAUAUUUUUAUAUUUAACAAAAAUAGCAUGCUAUUCAGUACAUUCACGAAGAAAAUAAAUUAGGCUACAAGAGUGACGUAGCGAGGCCUCAAAGAGAAAU
This 1428-nucleotide long non-coding RNA is filed under the name Ananas comosus (pineapple). Its description in RNAcentral is "long non-coding RNA (ACOM_LNC032121)". The record is from RNAcentral. Lineage: Eukaryota; Viridiplantae; Streptophyta; Magnoliopsida; Poales; Bromeliaceae.